AGAGUUUGAUCAUGGCUCAGGAUGAACGCUAGCGGCAGGCUUAACACAUGCAAGUCGAGGGGUAUAGGUUUUCGGACCUAGAGACCGGCGCACGGGUGCGUAACGCGUAUGCAUCUACCUUUUACAGAGGGAUAGCCCAGAGAAAUUUGGAUUAAUACCUCAUAGUAUUAUUGAAUGGCAUCAUUUAAUAAUUAAAGUCACAACGGUAAAAGAUGAGCAUGCGUCCCAUUAGCUUGUUGGUAAGGUAACGGCUUACCAAGGCAACGAUGGGUAGGGGUCCUGAGAGGGAGAUCCCCCACACUGGUACUGAGACACGGACCAGACUCCUACGGGAGGCAGCAGUAAGGAAUAUUGGUCAAUGGGCGCAAGCCUGAACCAGCCAUGCCGCGUGCAGGAUGAAGCAUCUAUGGUGUGUAAACUGCUUUUGUACGAGAAGAAACACUCCUACGUGUAGGAGCUUGACGGUAUCGUAAGAAUAAGGACCGGCUAACUCCGUGCCAGCAGCCGCGGUAAUACGGAGGGUCCAAGCGUUAUCCGGAAUCAUUGGGUUUAAAGGGUCCGUAGGCGGUUUUGUAAGUCAGUGGUGAAAGCCCAUCGCUCAACGGUGGAACGGCCAUUGAUACUGCAAGACUUGAAUUAUUGGGAAGUAACUAGAAUAUGUAGUGUAGCGGUGAAAUGCUUAGAGAUUACAUGGAAUACCAAUUGCGAAGGCAGGUUAUUACCAAUAUAUUGACGCUGAUGGACGAAAGCGUGGGGAGCGAACAGGAUUAGAUACCCUAGUAGUCC
Molecule: ribosomal RNA, 786 nt
Filed under: uncultured bacterium
Lineage: Bacteria
Description: bacterial SSU rRNA
Rfam family: Bacterial small subunit ribosomal RNA
Source: RNAcentral